Molecule: ribosomal RNA, 253 nt
Filed under: uncultured bacterium
Lineage: Bacteria
Description: partial 16S ribosomal RNA
Rfam family: Bacterial small subunit ribosomal RNA
Source: RNAcentral
UACGGAGGGUGCGAGCGUUGUCCGGAAUCACUGGGCGUAAAGGGCGCGUAGGCGGAGUGCUUUGUCGGGCGUGAAAUUCCAGGGCUCAACCUUGGGGCUGCGUUCGAGACGGGCAUUCUAGAGUUCGGAAGAGGGUCGUGGAAUUCCCAGUGUAGAGGUGAAAUUCGUAGAUAUUGGGAAGAACACCGGUGGCGAAGGCGGCGACCUGGUCCGAGACUGACGCUGAGGCGCGAAAGCGUGGGGAGCAAACAGG